Molecule: ribosomal RNA, 497 nt
Filed under: uncultured bacterium
Lineage: Bacteria
Description: partial 16S ribosomal RNA
Rfam family: Bacterial small subunit ribosomal RNA
Source: RNAcentral
GAUGAACGCUGGCGGCGUGCCUAAUACAUGCAAGUCGAGCGAACGGACGAGAAGCUUGCUUCUCUGAUGUUAGCGGCGGACGGGUGAGUAACACGUGUAUAACCUACCUAUAAGACUGGGAUAACUUCGGGAAACCGGAGCUAAUACCGGAUAAUAUUUUGAACCGCAUGGUUCAAAAGUGAAAGACGGUCUUGCUGUCACUUAUAGAUGGAUCCGCGCUGCAUUAGCUAGUUGGUAAGGUAACGGCUUACCAAGGCAACGAUGCAUAGCCGACCUGAGAGGGUGAUCGGCCACACUGGAACUGAGACACGGUCCAGACUCCUACGGGAGGCAGCAGUAGGGAAUCUUCCGCAAUGGGCGAAAGCCUGACGGAGCAACGCCGCGUGAGUGAUGAAGGUCUUCGGAUCGUAAAACUCUGUUAUUCGGGAAGAACAUAUGUGUAAGUAACUGUGCACAUCUUGACGGUACCUAAUCAGAAAGCCACGGCUAACUACGUG